Molecule: ribosomal RNA, 384 nt
Filed under: uncultured bacterium
Lineage: Bacteria
Description: bacterial SSU rRNA
Rfam family: Bacterial small subunit ribosomal RNA
Source: RNAcentral
AUUGAACGCUGGCGGCAUGCCUUACACAUGCAAGACGAACGGCAGCACGGGGCAACCUGGUGGCGAGUGGCGAACGGGUGAGUAAUGCAUCGGAACGUGCCAUUGAGUGGGGGAUAACGUAGCGAAAGUUGCGUUAAUACCGCAUAUUCUGUGAGCAGGAAAGCAGGGGACCGCAAGGCCUUGCGCUCUUUGAGCGGCCGAUGUCAGAUUAGCUAGUUGGUGAGGUAACGGCUUACCAAGGCGACGAUCUGUAGCGGGUCUGAGAGGAUGAUCCGCCACACUGGAACUGAGACACGGUCCAGACUCCUACGGGAGGCAGCAGUGGGGAAUUUUGGACAAUGGGCGCAAGCCUGAUCCAGCCAUGCCGCGUGAGUGAAGAAGGCC